Molecule: ribosomal RNA, 440 nt
Filed under: uncultured bacterium
Lineage: Bacteria
Description: bacterial SSU rRNA
Rfam family: Bacterial small subunit ribosomal RNA
Source: RNAcentral
AGGCAGCAGUAGGGAAUAUUGGUCAAUGGAUGCAAGUCUGAACCAGCCAUGCCGCGUGCAGGAAGAAGGCCUUCUGGGUUGUAAACUGCUUUUGCCGGGGGAUAAAAUUUCCAUGCGUGGGAAAUUGAAGGUACCYGGUGAAUAAGCCACGGCUAACUACGUGCCAGCAGCCGCGGUAAUACGUAGGUGGCAAGCGUUGUCCGGAUUUAUUGGGUUUAAAGGGUGCGUAGGCGGCCUAWUAAGUCAGUUCUGAAAUAUCCCGGCUUAACCGGGAGGGUGGSAUUGAUACUGAUGGGCUUGAGUGGAGUCGAGGUAGGCGGAAUUGACGGUGUAGCGGUGAAAUGCUUAGAUAUCGUCAAGAACACCGAUAGUGUAGACAGCUUACUAGACUUCAACUGACGCUGAGGCACGAAAGUGUGGGGAUCAAACAGGAUUAGAUA